UACGGGGGGAGCAAGCGUUGUUCGGAUUUACUGGGCGUAAAGGGCGCGUAGGCGGCCACCGCAAGUCGGUUGUGAAAUCUCUGGGCUUAACCCCAGAAAGGUCAACCGAUACUGCGGGGCUAGAGUGCAGAAGGGGCAACUGGAAUUCUCGGUGUAGCGGUGAAAUGCGUAGAUAUUGGGAGGAACACCAGUGGCGAAGGCGGCUCGCUGGACCGGAACUGACGCUGACGGCGCGAAAGCGUGGGGAGCAAACAGG
Molecule: ribosomal RNA, 256 nt
Filed under: uncultured bacterium
Lineage: Bacteria
Description: partial 16S ribosomal RNA
Rfam family: Bacterial small subunit ribosomal RNA
Source: RNAcentral